UUUGAAAGACCUACUUGGAUUCCCUCAGUAACGGCGAGUGAAGAGGGAUUAGCCCAGCACCGAAACCCGUAGUCGAUUGGCUACAAGGUAAUGUGGUGUUUAGAUUGAUUCUUGGUACUAUUGGCCCAUUCUAAGUCCAGCAAUGAGUACGGCUCUUGGAUCGGCCCAAAGAGGGUGAAAGGCCCGUGUGAGUGGAGCUAGUAGUGCCCUGAGUUUUUCUUGGAGUCGGGUUGUUUGUGAAUGCAGCCCAAAGCAGGUGGUAAACUCCAUCUAAGGCUAAAUACUGACACGAGUCCGAUAGCGAACAAGUACCGUGAGGGAAAGUUGAAAAGUACUUUGAAGAGAGAGUAAACAGUGCGUGAAACCGCUCAGAGGUAAACGGGUGGAGUUGAACUGGAAACCUAGAGAAUACAGCGAUGAGUAUGGUUUGUGCUAGGGCAUCGGGGUUGGUGCUCGGGGUACAUCGUUUGCAGGCAUGGUGCACUUAACAUGUGCCGUGCGCUCCGGGUAUGCCGACCUGCUUAUUGUCUGGAUUUCUCCUGGUAUUCACCACGACCGCAUUUUAAUGGUCUGUUGUAGCCGAACCGUUCAGGUUUGUUCUUUUUGAUCAGGCUUGGACGGUAUGACAGGUGGCCUGUCGAUCCGCAAGGUUUGAUCGGUGUAAUUAGUUGGUUAUGACAGAUAUCAUGAAGAAUGCAGGAGACGGCGGUGGUACGUGUGCCUUCUGGCAGGCAUGGUCGAGUUUGGUAGGCAUCUACUUAUAUUAACGGUGUGUCUAUGGCUCGGUUAUGUUAUGUUGGUGGUGGCAUGUGCUUAUGGCCCAUAGUCUGUGGUGUAGUUGUAGAUUUUCCACCCGACCCGUCUUGAAACACGGACCAAGGAGUUUAACAUGUGCGCGAGUCAUUGGGCAUUACGAAACCCAAAGGCGUAGUGAAAAUGAAGGCUUUUUAAGCUGAGGCGAGAUCCUGCCGUUUCCUCUGCGUAUACUACCUAGCAUUAGAGCGGUGGGCGCAUCGUCAGCCCGUCUCUAGACGUAGCCAUAUAGUCUUGUACUGUGUGCACCGUCGGGGCGGAGCUAGAGCGUAUAUGUUGAGACCCGAAAGAUGGUGAACUAUGCUUGCAAAAGUUGAAGCCAGAGGAAACUCUGGUGGAGGACUGUAGCGAUUCUGACGUGCAAAUCGAUCGUCUGAUGUGAGUAUAGGGGCGAAAGACUAAUCGAACCAUCUAGUAGCU
RNAcentral lists this ribosomal RNA (1233 nucleotides) under Sanguinicola cf. inermis. RNAcentral describes it as "eukaryotic LSU rRNA". It matches the Rfam family "Eukaryotic large subunit ribosomal RNA", at positions 53 to 952 of the family's 3401-position model. Lineage: Eukaryota; Metazoa; Platyhelminthes; Trematoda; Strigeidida; Aporocotylidae. The record is from RNAcentral.